Molecule: unclassified non-coding RNA, 336 nt
Filed under: soil metagenome
Description: partial contains 5.8S ribosomal RNA, internal transcribed spacer 2, and large subunit ribosomal RNA
Rfam family: 5.8S ribosomal RNA (bases 1-120)
Source: RNAcentral
GAUGAAGAACGCAGCGAAAUGCGAUAAGUAAUGUGAAUUGCAGAAUUCAGUGAAUCAUCGAAUCUUUGAACGCACAUUGCGCCCGCCAGUACUCUGGCGGGCAUGCCUGUUCGAGCGUCAUUUCAACCAUCAAGCCCUAGGCUUGUGUUGGGGACCUGCGGCUGCCGCAGGCCCUGAAAACCAGUGGCGGGCUCGCUGUCACACCGGGCGUAGUAGAUUUUAUCUCGCUCAGGGCGUGCUGCGGGUUCCGGCCGUUAAAAAGCCUUUUUUACCCAAGGUUGACCUCGGAUCAGGUAGGAAGACCCGCUGAACUUAAGCAUAUCAAUAAGCGGAGGA